Molecule: ribosomal RNA, 274 nt
Filed under: uncultured bacterium
Lineage: Bacteria
Description: partial 16S ribosomal RNA
Rfam family: Bacterial small subunit ribosomal RNA
Source: RNAcentral
AUAUGGAGGGGGUUAGCGUUGUUCGGAAUUACUGGGCGUAAAGCGCACGUAGGCGGAUUGGAAAGUUGGGGGUGAAAUCCCAGGGCUCAACCCUGGAACUGCCUCCAAAACUAACAGUCUAGAGUUCGAGAGAGGUGAGUGGAAUUCCAAGUGUAGAGGUGAAAUUCGUAGAUAUUUGGAGGAACACCAGUGGCGAAGGCGGCUCACUGGCUCGAUACUGACGCUGAGGUGCGAAAGCGUGGGGAGCAAACAGGAUUAGAAACCCUAGUAGUCC